UUUCCUUUCCACAAUGUUCG
RNAcentral lists this microRNA (20 nucleotides) under Ciona intestinalis (vase tunicate). RNAcentral describes it as "cin-miR-4006g-3p". Lineage: Eukaryota; Metazoa; Chordata; Ascidiacea; Phlebobranchia; Cionidae. The record is from miRBase by way of RNAcentral.